GCAGCCGCCGCGGGAAUACAGAGGAUGCAAGCGUUAUCCGGAAUGAUUGGGCGUAAAGCGUCUGUAGGUGGCUUUUCAAGUCCGCCGUCAAAUCCCAGGGCUCAACUCUGGACAGGCGGUGGAAACUACCAAGCUGGAGUACGGUAGGGGCAGAGGGAAUUUCCGGUGGAGCGGUGAAAUGCGUAGAUAUCGGAAGGAACACCUGUGGCGAAAGCGGCUCACUGGACCAUUUCUGACGCUGAUGCACGAAAGCUAGGGGAGCAAACAGGAUUAGAUACCCCGGUAGUCCCUGUCUCUUAUAC
RNAcentral lists this ribosomal RNA (302 nucleotides) under uncultured bacterium. RNAcentral describes it as "partial 16S ribosomal RNA". It matches the Rfam family "Bacterial small subunit ribosomal RNA", at positions 508 to 807 of the family's 1533-position model. The record is from RNAcentral.